This 1346-nucleotide ribosomal RNA is filed under the name uncultured bacterium. RNAcentral's name for it is "bacterial SSU rRNA". It matches the Rfam family "Bacterial small subunit ribosomal RNA", at positions 28 to 1381 of the family's 1533-position model. The record is from RNAcentral.
GACGAACGCUGGCGGCGUGCUUAACACAUGCAAGUCGAACGGAAAGGCCCUGCUUUUGUGGGGUGCUCGAGUGGCGAACGGGUGAGUAACACGUGAGUAACCCGCCCUUGACUUUGGAAUAACUUCAGGAAACUGGGGCUAAUACCGGAUAGGAGCUCCUGCUGCAUGGUGGGGGUUGGAAAGUUUCGGCGGUUGGGGAUGGACUCGCGGCUUAUCAGCUUGUUGGUGGGGUAGUGGCUUACCAAGGCUUUGACGGGUAGCCGGCCUGAGAGGGUGACCGGCCACAUUGGGACUGAGAUACGGCCCAGACUCCUACGGGAGGCAGCAGUGGGGAAUAUUGCACAAUGGGCGGAAGCCUGAUGCAGCAACGCCGCGUGCGGGAUGACGGCCUUCGGGUUGUAAACCGCUUUCGCCUGUGACGAAGCGUGAGUGACGGUAAUGGGUAAAGAAGCACCGGCUAACUACGUGCCAGCAGCCGCGGUGAUACGUAGGGUGCGAGCGUUGUCCGGAUUUAUUGGGCGUAAAGGGCUCGUAGGUGGUUGAUCGCGUCGGAAGUGUAAUCUUGGGGCUUAACCCUGAGCGUGCUUUCGAUACGGGUUGACUUGAGGAAGGUAGGGGAGAAUGGAAUUCCUGGUGGAGCGGUGGAAUGCGCAGAUAUCAGGAGGAACACCAGUGGCGAAGGCGGUUCUCUGGGCCUUUCCUGACGCUGAGGAGCGAAAGCGUGGGGAGCGAACAGGCUUAGAUACCCUGGUAGUCCACGCUGUAAACGGUGGGUACUAGGUGUGGGGUCCAUUCCACGGGUUCCGUGCCGUAGCUAACGCUUUAAGUACCCCGCCUGGGGAGUACGGCCGCAAGGCUAAAACUCAAAGGAAUUGACGGGGCCCCGCACAAGCGGCGGAGCAUGCGGAUUAAUUCGAUGCAACGCGUAGAACCUUACCUGGGUUUGACAUGGAUCGGGAGCGCUCAGAGAUGGGUGUGCCUCUUUUGGGGUCGGUUCACAGGUGGUGCAUGGCUGUCGUCAGCUCGUGUCGUGAGAUGUUGGGUUAAGUCCCGCAACGAGCGCAACCCUUGUUCACUGUUGCCAGCACGUUAUGGUGGGGACUCAGUGGAGACCGCCGGGGUCAACUCGGAGGAAGGUGGGGAUGACGUCAAGUCAUCAUGCCCCUUAUGUCCAGGGCUUCACGCAUGCUACAAUGGCUGGUACAGAGAGUGGCGAGCCUGUGAGGGUGAGCGAAUCUCGGAAAGCCGGUCUCAGUUCGGAUUGGGGUCUGCAACUCGACCUCAUGAAGUCGGAGUCGCUAGUAAUCGCAGAUCAGCAACGCUGCGGUGAAUACGUUCCCGGGGCU